UUUCCUUUUAUUUUUAGAAAUAAUCUAUUCAGUUGUUAAAAUUCCUUAUUCCGGGAUGGGUACGGUGGCUCACACCUAUAACCCCAACACUUUGGGAGGCCAGCGCAGGUGGAGGUUGCAGUGAACCGAGAUCGCACCAUUGCACUCCAGCCUGGGCAACAAGAGAAACUCCAGCUCAAAAAAAAAAAAAAAAAAAAAAAAAGAAAGAAAGAAAAAGAAAACAGGAGGAUUGGGCUAUUUCCACAUCAGGGUCCCAUUUAAUACCCCCUUAAAACAUCAGCUUUCCUUCCAGAGACUGAUCAUUGAGAAAGCAGUACUGCUGACAUAGAUCCUGCCUACUUAUAAAUCAUAAUGGUUG
This 358-nucleotide long non-coding RNA is filed under the name Homo sapiens (human). RNAcentral's name for it is "novel transcript, sense to intronic to ARL2BP". Lineage: Eukaryota; Metazoa; Chordata; Mammalia; Primates; Hominidae. The record is from RNAcentral.